UAGCCCAUGAUCUUCUAUAAAGACUAUAACUGUUUCAUCCUAACUACAGAAACUUAUUAUUUUUCUGUCAAGAUCUAAUGAGUUCUGAACUUCUGAUCAUAGCAUCAUUCAUCCGUUCCUCUGCCUCUCACUUUUAAAACUUUUAUCAGUUUUGAAAUUUAUUGUUCUAGUCUUAUGUGAUCUAUAAAAAUAAUCAAAAGGUAUUCAGCUUUUCUUUUAUAAAUCGUGAUGAGGAUGAUUGUUUUUCUUUCAUGCAGGAUGUGAAAGGAAACUAAGAACUCCUACCUCACGAACCUGUUGAAAAUUUUCUGGAAAGGUUUCGAUUUCUUCAAUGACAAAUGAAAAAUCUUCUGCAAAUCUUAAGGAAUACAAGUUUCUAGGAAAUGCUGCUGAAGGAGAAUGCUUCCGUGAAUCUCUUAACUUACUGAAUCAACUCAGUUUUACACCAGCAAUAAGGAUUGAAGAUGAAUAUAAAGAAGAAGAAUUCAUUUUUUGUUACAGUUUUUCUCUGAGUUUAUAUUCUUUUAUUUUGUACUUCUUUUUAUUUUUGCCAUGUUCUUCAGAUUGUUAGUCAAUGGAAAAUAAUAAUAACAAGUUGUUUAUAGAAAA
Molecule: long non-coding RNA, 609 nt
Organism: Raphanus sativus (radish)
Lineage: Eukaryota; Viridiplantae; Streptophyta; Magnoliopsida; Brassicales; Brassicaceae
Exons: 2
Source: RefSeq, a predicted model, not a curated record